GUUUUAUAUCUAGUAAAAGUGAAAUCUAGCUAAUGUUCAAAGUCUUUAAAUUAUGUGUAAAGUUCCAAUCUGUGACCUGUUUUACUUGUUACCUCAUUUGUUUUCUUUGUAUUGUACAUAUGGCAGUAAUAAUAGUAGUGAUAAUCAUAGAAGUAAUAAUUAGGCGCUUACAUUUGUUCAAAUAACAGUAGGGUAAGUUUGUGUUCUGAACGUUGCAUUCCUAUUGCAGGAGCUGUUAUAGAGGCAUUUAUUAGACUUCACGAAAAAGGAUUAAUUUAUCAAGGUAUAUGCCAAAAUUCCAUUGCUUACUAUCAUGUUUCACUUUGCUAACUGAUAUUUAGCAUGUUUACUUUCUCAUUUGAUCAUAAUAUUCUUUCUCCUUUGCUUCAACUGCCUAUCACAGGGAAAAGAAAAGAAUGUCAAUAUUAUCAAUCUGUGCACUAAAAAUCUAGAAGAAAUUAUGAUAUCAAAUGAAAAACAACAAAGAAAUACUAGUAUUAACAUUUAAAAGAAAUUUUAUGUAUCUUUUCCCCUUAGAGUGUAUUUAUUUAGAAAUACUGAUGGUUCAAUUUGACAUCUAGUCUGAGUUAGUCACUGACUGGUCCAAACUUGAGAUUUGAAGCGCGUUUUUUUCCCUUUUGGCAGAGGAAAUGCGAACAAAGAAGGACGCAGUGAAGCUUUCUUGGCUUUGCUUAAAUAUCUUAUAACCAUGCAAGAUUUGUCUAUACAAUACUGUCAAAGUUUAAUAUAAGCAAGUUAGAGAGGAAUCAAGAAAGGGAGCACUUCAUCUAGGAUACAAACAAGCUUUGGCUUUUUGUAAGUCUCUGUCCCCUGUAUAUGGUUGCUACUUUCUUGAAGUAUUUACUAAUUUAAAAGAAUCAGGAAAGCCAUUUUCUGGAAGUUGUUUAUAUUUCAUGUGAAUUUGGGCAGUAGAGUAUACUUAUAGUUUACUUGUAAUUAAGAAUUAAUUAUACUAUAUAUGAGGAGCUUGAUGCUGGGGGUAUGGAGCGGACAAGAGAUGUGUACAGGUAUCUUUAUGUUCUUGCAAUGGAUUAAUGAUUCUGUUGGUUGCUACUAUUGCUAAAUUGCAAGUGAAAUAAUUGCUUUACUAAUAAAUCUUGUCAACUAACUCUGCAAGAAAUUUACCAGUUGCCUACUAUUUGAACGUUUGCAUGUUUUGGUUUCAUGUUCUGCUAACAGUCCAUUUCAUUACCCUGUAACAGUCCAUUUUUCCUUUUUCUUUUACUUUUUUUUUCUCAUUUUCAGUGUUUAUUUUAGCGAAGUGCCCUAAUGUAAGUUGAAAAAUUCAACAGAAAUGUUUUGUUUGAUUCUUAAUUUGGAAUUGUGAUUUUUUUUCACUGUUUCGAUAUGCUAAAUCAGAACUCUCAGUAAUAUGAGUAUUAUUGUGCUUUUAUUUUUGUUUUUCUUUCUUCGUUGACUGGAGACUAAGAGCGAAGACUACAACAGUAGCUGAGUUUUGCUUUUUUGAUUUUUUUGUGUGAUUAUUGUAAUUAUUAUUUUUAAUUCUUUGUCCGGUCGCAGCUCUCUUUGAAGUUUGUACUUUUAUUAUUGGUAAGUGUGUACUUUUAUUUUAUUAUUGGUUUAGCUUCAAUUCAGAUCUCAUUUAUUGUUCUUUCGAUUUUGAUGAUACAGGCUCCGUGAGCUGAAACAACUUGCAAAUAUGCCAUAGAGAUUUGAAAUUAGAAAAUACCCUUUUAGAUGGAAGUCCUGCACCUCGUUUGAAAAUCUGCGAUUUCGGUUACUCUAAGUCAUCUCUGUUGCAUUCAAGACCCAAAUCAACAGUUGGAACUCCAGCAUAUAGAGCACCGGAAGUUCUGACGCGGUGAGAGUAUGAUGGAAAGGGUGAUUGAAAAUGAGUAUUUAGGUCUGAGAAAUGGCAUACUAGAUCAAUCAGCCAUACUGCUUUGAAGCCAUGGUUGUCUAACUUACAUGAACUCAAAAUAUUGAAGGUGUAGUAGAGGAUUCAAUCUCUUCAAGCUGGAAAAGCCAAGGCUUAGCACUUCUUCAAGUGGAGUGUUAUUUAAUGUUGCAUUCCAUGGUCGUUUAUCUUAGUCGGAACUUGAAUUUUUGUAGCUACCUUGUGUACUAGCUUCUUUAACCAUGAUUGUUAAUUAUUACGUGUUUUAUAGCUUCUUUUAUAUUUGGCCGAUUUAAUAGAGAUCAGAUGAGCUGUGAGAUAGAUUGCUCAUUUAUUUAAACAUAAUAUUUUAAUUCUAAAUUUAAAUUCAUUAAUUUUUA
Molecule: long non-coding RNA, 2259 nt
Organism: Gossypium raimondii (Peruvian cotton)
Lineage: Eukaryota; Viridiplantae; Streptophyta; Magnoliopsida; Malvales; Malvaceae
Exons: 5
Source: RefSeq, a predicted model, not a curated record